RNAcentral lists this ribosomal RNA (636 nucleotides) under Triticum aestivum (bread wheat). RNAcentral's name for it is "partial small subunit ribosomal RNA". Lineage: Eukaryota; Viridiplantae; Streptophyta; Magnoliopsida; Poales; Poaceae. The record is from RNAcentral.
AUGAGGCAUUGGCACACCAACGGUUCCAUAGUUUUGGUGCAAAGGAAAUCUGUAAGAUUAAAAUCCCUAGGAAGGAUGUGGAGGAUUGUGUGGCUUGGCAUAAAAAACGAGAGAUCAGGCGUAUUCUCUGCCCAUUGCGCGUAUAAGUUGGGCACUCAACUGAAACACCAAGUUAGUGUAAAAGCGUCGAGCUCGGGAUGCGAUGCUGACAACAAGAGUAUAUGGGAUAACAUAUGGAAAGCAAAAGUGCGUGAGAAAAUUCGGAUUUUUGCAUGGCGGGUAGCCACUGAGACCUUACCUACAAAAGAAAAUAAACAGAAGAGAACAUUAGAGGUAGAAAACACUUGUGACAUCUGCGGCACUGAGAAAGAGGAUGAAGUUCAUGCGGUGAUCAAUUGUACCAAAGCCAAGGUGCUUCGAAAUGAGAUGAGGGCACACUGGGUGCUACCAGCAGAGGAUCACUUUCAAUACAUAGGCAUUAUUGGCUUCAAAAUCUGCUCGGUUCUUGUACUACCAAAGAGCGCGCCAAGAUCCUCCUGCUACUGUGGCGUGCGUGGUGGCUUUGGGAUGACCGCAUCCAUGCUAAAGGCAGGCGUUGGUUGGCCAGCCAGUCCAAUUCUUAGUGAAAUAUGCUGA